Molecule: transfer-messenger RNA, 399 nt
Filed under: uncultured Bacteroides sp.
Lineage: Bacteria; Pseudomonadati; Bacteroidota; Bacteroidia; Bacteroidales; Bacteroidaceae
Rfam family: transfer-messenger RNA
About the family: Bacterial tmRNA, also known as 10Sa RNA or SsrA, is named for its dual tRNA and mRNA-like properties. Its role is to liberate the mRNA from a stalled ribosome.
Source: RNAcentral
GGGGUUGACUGGAUUUGACAGCGGGAAGAAAUGGUAGGUAAGCAUGCAGUGCUUCGUUGGCUGGCACUUUAAUCUCAGUCCUCGAAAAUUUAUCUGGCGAAAGACAAUACGCUCUCGCUGCGUGAUUGAAGCAUAGUAGAUCGACGCUUAAUCCCGGCACAAGGUGCUGGGACGGGACAUCACUCGGAAGCUGUUGCUCCGAAGCAUUCCGGUCAAGUGGUGCAGCUACAUCGGAGAUAGUCAACGUCGGCCUUGCGGCGUAGAUGAAGUUUUUUAGAGGAUAAGGUUGCGGUUGAUGGCUUUGGUUCUGCCGCGGCAUGAAAAUUUAGGCAAAGAUAAGCAUGUAGAAAGCUUAUGAUUUCCUCGUUUGGACGAGGGUUCGAUUCCCUCCAGCUCCAC